Pongo abelii (Sumatran orangutan) is the source of this 148-nucleotide unclassified non-coding RNA. It matches the Rfam family "Metazoan signal recognition particle RNA". From Rfam's summary of the family: The signal recognition particle (SRP) is a universally conserved ribonucleoprotein. It is involved in the co-translational targeting of proteins to membranes. NCBI's taxonomy places the organism in Eukaryota, Metazoa, Chordata, Mammalia, Primates, Hominidae. The record is from Ensembl.
GCCAGGCACGGUGGCGUGCGCCUGUAAUCCCAGCUACUUGGGAGGCUGAGACAGGAGACUUGCUUGAACCCAGGAGACAGAGGUUGCAGUGAGCCAAGAUUGCGCCACUGUGCUCCAGCCUGGGUGACAGAGCAAGAUUCCGUCUCAA